GAUGAACGCUGGCGGCGUGCCUAAUACAUGCAAGUCGAGCGAACGGACGAGAAGCUUGCUUCUCUUAUGUUAGCGGCGGACGGGUGAGUAACACGUGGAUAACCUACCUAUAAGACUGGGAUAACUUCGGGAAACCGGAGCUAAUACCGGAUAAUAUUUUGAACCGCAUGGUUCAAAAGUGAAAGACGGUCUUGCUGUCACUUAUAGAUGGAUCCGCGCUGCAUUAGCUAGUUGGUAAGGUAACGGCUUACCAAGGCAACGAUGCAUAGCCGACCUGAGAGGAUGAUCGGCCACACUGGAACUGAGACACGGCCCAGACUCCUACGGGAGGCAGCAGUAGGGAAUAUUCCGCAAUGGGCGAAAGCCUGACGGAGCAACGCCGCGUGAGUGAUGAAGGUCUUCGGAUCGUAAAACUCUGUUAUUAGGGAAGAACAUAUGUGUAAGUAACUGUGCACAUCUUGACGGUACCAAAUCAGAAAGCCACGGCUAACUACGUG
Molecule: ribosomal RNA, 497 nt
Filed under: uncultured bacterium
Lineage: Bacteria
Description: partial 16S ribosomal RNA
Rfam family: Bacterial small subunit ribosomal RNA
Source: RNAcentral